RNAcentral lists this ribosomal RNA (253 nucleotides) under uncultured bacterium. Its description in RNAcentral is "partial 16S ribosomal RNA". It matches the Rfam family "Bacterial small subunit ribosomal RNA", at positions 524 to 776 of the family's 1533-position model. The record is from RNAcentral.
UACGUAGGGGGCAAGCGUUGUCCGGAAUCAUUGGGCGUAAAGCGCGUGUAGGCGGUCCGGUAAGUCCGCUGUGAAAGUCGGGGGCUCAACCCUCGAAUGCCGGUGGAUACUGUCGGGCUAGAGUACGGAAGAGGCGAGUGGAAUUCCUGGUGUAGCGGUGAAAUGCGCAGAUAUCAGGAGGAACACCAAUUGCGAAGGCAGCUCGCUGGGACGUUACUGACGCUGAGACGCGAAAGCGUGGGGAGCAAACAGG